Molecule: ribosomal RNA, 1361 nt
Filed under: metagenome
Description: SSU rRNA
Rfam family: Eukaryotic small subunit ribosomal RNA
Source: RNAcentral
UCUGGUUGAUCCUGCCAGUAGUCAUAUGCUUGUCUCAAAGAUUAAGCCAUGCAUGUCUAAGUAUAAAUAGUAUACAGUGAAACUGCGAAUGGCUCAUUAAAACAGUUAUAGUUUAUUUGAUAAUUGACAAUUACAUGGAUAACCGUGGUAAUUCUAGAGCUAAUACAUGCUUAAACGCCCGACUUUAUGGAAGGGUGGUAUUUAUUAGACUGAAGCCAAUAUUCCUUGUGUCUAUUGCGGUGAUUCAUAAUAACUGAUCGAAUCUCUUUUUGAGAUAAAUCAUUCAAGUUUCUGCCCUAUCAGCUUUCGAUGGUAGUGUAUUGGACUACCAUGGCAGUAACGGGUAACGAAGAAUUAGGGUUCGAUUUCGGAGAGGGAGCAUGAGAAACGGCUACCACAUCUAAGGAAGGCAGCAGGCGCGUAAAUUACCCAAUCCUGACUCAGGGAGGUAGUGACAAGAAAUAGCAAACCGGGAACCUCAUGGUUUCACGGUAUUGCAAUGAGAACAAUUUAAAACCCUUAGCGAGAAUCAAGUGGAGGACAAGUCUGGUGCCAGCACCCGCGGUAAUUCCAGCUCCACUAGCGUAUAUUAAAGUUGUUGCAGUUAAAAAGCUCGUAGUUGAACCUCUGUCUGGGGCUAGUUUUGGCUUUGGUCAGGCUAGUUCUAGGCAUCCGCCUACAAGACUUAGAGGGCAUUCAGUUGUUCACUAGGAGGAGUAGGCAUUUUACUUUGAAAAAAUUAGAGUGUUUAAGGCAGGCAAUCGCCCGCAUAUAUUAGCAUGGAAUAAUAGAAUAGGACACUUUUCCAUUUCGUUGGUUAUUGGAAUCGUGUAAUGAUUAAUAGGGACAGUUGUGGGCAUUUGUAUUUAAUUGUCAGAGGUGAAAUUCUUGGAUUUAUUAAAGACAAACUAACGCGAAAGCAUUUGCCAAGGGUGUUUUCAUUAAUCAAGAACGAAAGUUAGGGGAUCAAAGACGAUCAGAUACCGUCCUAGUCUUAACUAUAAACUAUUCCGACUCAAUGUUUGACUGGCUUAUAUAACCAGUUGAGCGUUGUAUGAGAAAUCAAAGUCUUUAGGUUCUGGGGGGAGUAUGGUUGCAAAGCUGAAACUUAAAGGAAUUGACGGAAGAGCACAACCAGGAGUGGAUUCUGCGGCUUAAUUUGACUCAACACGGGGAAACUUACCAGGUUAAAACAAUAGUGGGAUUGACAGUUUGAGAGCGCUUUCUUGAUUGGUUGGGUGGUGGUGCAUGGCCGUUCUUAGUUGGUGGAGUGAUUUGUCUGCUUAAUUGCGUUAACGAACGAGACCUUAACCUGCUUACUAGACUGGCGAUCAUCAAUCGUUAGCUCUUCUUAGAGGGAC